RNAcentral lists this ribosomal RNA (254 nucleotides) under uncultured bacterium. RNAcentral describes it as "partial 16S ribosomal RNA". It matches the Rfam family "Bacterial small subunit ribosomal RNA", at positions 1238 to 1500 of the family's 1533-position model. The record is from RNAcentral.
UACAGAGGGCCGGCCGCUGGCAACAUCGGUCCAAUCCUUAAAGUCAUCCUCAGUUCGGACUGGGGUCUGCAACCCGACCCCACGAAGCUGGAUUCGCUAGUAAUCGCGCAUCAGCCAUGGCGCGGUGAAUACGUUCCCGGGCCUUGUACACACCGCCCGUCAAGCCAUGAAAGCCGGGGGCGCCUGAAGUCCGUGACCGCGAGGGUCGGCCUAGGGUGAAACCGGUGAUUGGGGCUAAGUCGUAACAAGGUAGC